UACGGGGGGGGCAAGCGUUGUUCGGAAUUACUGGGCGUAAAGGGCUCGUAGGCGGCCAACUAAGUCAGACGUGAAAUCCCUCGGCUUAACCGGGGAACUGCGUCUGAUACUGGAUGGCUUGAGGUUGGGAGAGGGAUGCGGAAUUCCAGGUGUAGCGGUGAAAUGCGUAGAUAUUCGCAAGAACACCAGUGGCGAAGGCGGCUCACUGGCCCGAUACUGACGCUGAGGCACGAAAGCGUGGGGAGCAAACAGG
This 253-nucleotide ribosomal RNA is filed under the name uncultured bacterium. Its description in RNAcentral is "partial 16S ribosomal RNA". It matches the Rfam family "Bacterial small subunit ribosomal RNA", at positions 524 to 776 of the family's 1533-position model. The record is from RNAcentral.